UACAGAGGUCCCAAGCGUUGUUCGGAUUCACUGGGCGUAAAGGGUGCGUAGGCGGUCGGGUAAGUCUGAUGUGAAAUCUCACAGCUUAACUGUGAAACUGCAUUGGAUACUAUCCGGCUCGAGGAAUGGAGGGGAGACUGGAAUACUUGGUGUAGCAGUGAAAUGCGUAGAUAUCAGGAGGAACACCGGUGGCGAAGGCGGGUCUCUGGGCCAAUACUGACGCUGAGGAGCGAAAGCGUGGGGAGCGAACAGG
Molecule: ribosomal RNA, 253 nt
Filed under: uncultured bacterium
Lineage: Bacteria
Description: partial 16S ribosomal RNA
Rfam family: Bacterial small subunit ribosomal RNA
Source: RNAcentral